Molecule: ribosomal RNA, 724 nt
Filed under: uncultured Staphylococcus sp.
Lineage: Bacteria; Bacillati; Bacillota; Bacilli; Caryophanales; Staphylococcaceae
Description: bacterial SSU rRNA
Rfam family: Bacterial small subunit ribosomal RNA
Source: RNAcentral
UCGAGCGAACAGACGAGGAGCUUGCUCCUCUGACGUUAGCGGCGGACGGGUGAGUAACACGUGGAUAACCUACCUAUAAGACUGGGAUAACUUCGGGAAACCGGAGCUAAUACCGGAUAAUAUAUUGAACCGCAUGGUUCAAUAGUGAAAGACGGUUUUGCUGUCACUUAUAGAUGGAUCCGCGCCGCAUUAGCUAGUUGGUAAGGUAACGGCUUACCAAGGCGACGAUGCGUAGCCGACCUGAGAGGGUGAUCGGCCACACUGGAACUGAGACACGGUCCAGACUCCUACGGGAGGCAGCAGUAGGGAAUCUUCCGCAAUGGGCGAAAGCCUGACGGAGCAACGCCGCGUGAGUGAUGAAGGUCUUCGGAUCGUAAAACUCUGUUAUUAGGGAAGAACAAAUGUGUAAGUAACUAUGCACGUCUUGACGGUACCUAAUCAGAAAGCCACGGCUAACUACGUGCCAGCAGCCGCGGUAAUACGUAGGUGGCAAGCGUUAUCUGGAAUUAUUGGGCGUAAAGCGCGCGUAGGCGGUUUUUUAAGUCUGAUGUGAAAGCCCACGGCUCAACCGUGGAGGGUCAUUGGAAACUGGAAAACUUGAGUGCAGAAGAGGAAAGUGGAAUUCCAUGUGUAGCGGUGAAAUGCGCAGAGAUAUGGAGGAACACCAGUGGCGAAGGCGACUUUCUGGUCUGUAACUGACGCUGAUGUGCGAAAGCGUGGGGAU